RNAcentral lists this small RNA (120 nucleotides) under Tatumella citrea. RNAcentral describes it as "RtT sRNA". It matches the Rfam family "RtT RNA". Rfam says of the family: This family represents a bacterial cis-regulatory element known as RtT RNA. The exact function of RtT is unknown although it is thought that it may be involved in changing the cellular response in relation to amino acid starvation. The record is from RNAcentral. Lineage: Bacteria; Pseudomonadati; Pseudomonadota; Gammaproteobacteria; Enterobacterales; Erwiniaceae.
CUUAGAAAGAAAACGUGCAGGAUGAGAACCUGCCGCAGGUUCGGGUCGAACGCAGUGAGACAACGUUGUGAACAACGGCCCGCAGGGCGAGCGAAGCGAGUCAUCCUGCACGACCCACCA